This is a long non-coding RNA of Hydractinia symbiolongicarpus, 1233 nucleotides long. RefSeq lists it as uncharacterized. The record is from RefSeq and is a predicted model, not a curated record. Lineage: Eukaryota; Metazoa; Cnidaria; Hydrozoa; Anthoathecata; Hydractiniidae. The transcript is spliced from 2 exons.
ACUUUGUCUUAUUUCGGAAUAAUUACAAACUAUAUUUAUAGCUAAAACGUAACUUUUAUCAGGCUAUGAUUCUCUAGGCGGGCUUUAUCGUCUACGUUGUUUAGAAGCUUUAACCAAUUAAAAAGCCCCAUUGCUAAUUGAUUGAUGGCAGAUGAAUAAACAGCUUGAAAAAAGUUGAAAAAUAGGUUGGUUUACUUAACGUAAAAAAAUACACACGCAGUACAAAAGCCUUUAGAGGAGUUUGGAAUGACGAUGAAAAAUGCCAUACUUUGUAUACUUUCAAAUAGUUGAAGUUAAAUACCAGAAAAAACGUUUAACGUGAAGUCUACGUGGAAUAUAAAAUAAGUACCUGAUGUGUAUUGCACGUGUAUUUGAAUUUCCUUAUAUAUUCCAGCUUGUUUAUUUUCAAGAACAACACGUUUACAAGCAAAUUCCAGCUGAAAAAACAAAUAUAAAAUUUUAGUUGUUUAUGUCAAAGAAGUUAUAGGUUGAUGACUUUUUUCUUAACUGUUUUUGAAGAAAUUCACUUGAUAGCUAAAUACACAGAAUAAAUAAAUGUUGGAAUCGACAUACCUUGGAGCCUCCAAGGAAUAGAGGAAGAGAUUUGUUUAUAUUAAAAAGCGCUUAGUAUUGUAUUUAUAACUGCUGCUUUUUUGCUUCCCUUUCGUAAUGACAAUCUGCUAAAUUUACAAUUUUCGUGUUUUUCACCGCAUAACAAAGAUAGGCGUUCAAACGCAUGAAAACGAUAUAAAAGGUACAAAAAUAUGGCCAAUGGUUGCAGGUAUCGAGGAGGAUUCGAAUAAAAUAUUCUUGUUGUGAUAAUUCAUAGAGCCCUUACUUUUUUCCAGAAUCUUGGAAAGGGAGAGAGAGUUUUAUAAAGAUUGAUUAACAGAAAAAACAACACAUUCACUUUGCCUGUUACAGACACACGGAACUGGCGUAUUAUUAUAGAAACUAGUCGUUGCCCGUGGGAAAAUCCACGGAGUCGCCCGUCCUUUAUAUUUCCCCGUCGCAACAAAGUGGAGAAAAACACAUCACAUUUGAUAUUGGUGUUUCCGUAACGUCAUUUUCUAACUCAGCGGGAGGUCCGCGCAGACACAGACUAUUAUAAUAGAGAUGGUGGUUUUAUUGUAUAGCAGCGAUACUUACCUGACGAUGUAAGAGUUUUUACUUACAAAAAGCUUCGUGUAUUUUUGUAUGUUCUUGUAUAUAAUAAUAUCUCGCUUCAUAUUU